This 1234-nucleotide ribosomal RNA is filed under the name Escherichia coli. Its description in RNAcentral is "partial 23S ribosomal RNA". It matches the Rfam family "Bacterial large subunit ribosomal RNA", at positions 1484 to 2698 of the family's 2925-position model. Lineage: Bacteria; Pseudomonadati; Pseudomonadota; Gammaproteobacteria; Enterobacterales; Enterobacteriaceae. The record is from RNAcentral.
AUGUUGGCCGGGCGACGGUUGUCCCGGUUUAAGCGUGUAGGCUGGUUUUCCAGGCAAAUCCGGAAAACUAAGGCUGAGGCGUGAUGACGAGGCACUACGGUGCUGAAGCAACAAAUGCCCUGCUUCCAGGAAAAGCCUCUAAGCAUCAGGUAACAUCAAAUCGUACCCCAAACCGACACAGGUGGUCAGGUAGAGAAUACCAAGGCGCUUGAGAGAACUCGGGUGAAGGAACUAGGCAAAAUGGUGCCGUAACUUCGGGAGAAGGCACGCUGAUAUGUAGGUGAAGUCCCUCGCGGAUGGAGCUGAAAUCAGUCGAAGAUACCAGCUGGCUGCAACUGUUUAUUAAAAACACAGCACUGUGCAAACACGAAAGUGGACGUAUACGGUGUGACGCCUGCCCGGUGCCGGAAGGUUAAUUGAUGGGGUCAGCGCAAGCGAAGCUCUUGAUCGAAGCCCCGGUAAACGGCGGCCGUAACUAUAACGGUCCUAAGGUAGCGAAAUUCCUUGUCGGGUAAGUUCCGACCUGCACGAAUGGCGUAAUGAUGGCCAGGCUGUCUCCACCCGAGACUCAGUGAAAUUGAACUCGCUGUGAAGAUGCAGUGUACCCGCGGCAAGACGGAAAGACCCCGUGAACCUUUACUAUAGCUUGACACUGAACAUUGAGCCUUGAUGUGUAGGAUAGGUGGGAGGCUUUGAAGUGUGGACGCCAGUCUGCAUGGAGCCGACCUUGAAAUACCACCCUUUAAUGUUUGAUGUUCUAACGUUGACCCGUAAUCCGGGUUGCGGACAGUGUCUGGUGGGUAGUUUGACUGGGGCGGUCUCCUCCUAAAGAGUAACGGAGGAGCACGAAGGUUGGCUAAUCCUGGUCGGACAUCAGGAGGUUAGUGCAAUGGCAUAAGCCAGCUUGACUGCGAGCGUGACGGCGCGAGCAGGUGCGAAAGCAGGUCAUAGUGAUCCGGUGGUUCUGAAUGGAAGGGCCAUCGCUCAACGGAUAAAAGGUACUCCGGGGAUAACAGGCUGAUACCGCCCAAGAGUUCAUAUCGACGGCGGUGUUUGGCACCUCGAUGUCGGCUCAUCACAUCCUGGGGCUGAAGUAGGUCCCAAGGGUAUGGCUGUUCGCCAUUUAAAGUGGUACGCGAGCUGGGUUUAGAACGUCGUGAGACAGUUCGGUCCCUAUCUGCCGUGGGCGCUGGAGAACUGAGGGGGGCUGCUCCUAGUACGAGAGGACCGGAGU